Phragmites australis (common reed) is the source of this 3712-nucleotide long non-coding RNA. RefSeq lists it as uncharacterized. Lineage: Eukaryota; Viridiplantae; Streptophyta; Magnoliopsida; Poales; Poaceae. The transcript is spliced from 4 exons. The record is from RefSeq and is a predicted model, not a curated record.
CUCCAUUCAAGGAUGCUGAUUUGACAUCCAUGUGAUGGAUCUCCCAACCACUGUGUGCCGCCAGUGCGUUCAAGAUGCGCACCAUCUCCAUCCAUGCCACCGGUACAAAAACUUCAUCAAAGUCUACUCCCUGCACCUGUGCAUAACCUUUUGCAACCAAACGAGCUUUGUGCUUCACAAUAUUACCUUGCGGAUCCUUUUUCACCUUGAAGACCCACUUAAGGCCAAUUGCUCGCUGGACGGCAGGGAGGGAGGCUAGCUUCCAUGUUUUGUUGUCGGUGAUCGACUUCAUCUCGGCCUCCAUGGCGCAUUGAUAGUUCGCGUCGCCAAGAGCUUGCUCGAUGCUGGUCGGCUCCUUAGUUGCAAGCAUACACAGCCUUCUGAACUCGAGCUCCCUUGGCUUGUCGUGUCGAGGAGGUUCUCGACUGUGCGGUACCGGAGUGGUGCCCCAUCGAUGUCGUGCGUCCUACCAGUAGGUGGUGAUGCCCACUUGACACCACCCAUGGGGCCGGCGUGUGUGGCGAGGCUGGUUCUGCAUCUGGCUGUGCCUCGUGCACAGGGUCAUUGUCGAAGUAAUGGUUCACGAUGAACGUUCCGCUGGGCUCCACGUCGGUGACUCCACCAGUUGGCAUGGCGAGCCAGUCCCAGGCCCUUACUUCCUCUAACAUAGCAUCGUGAGUGAUGUGCAGCUUCCGCGCCACUGGAUCAUAUGCCCUAUAUGCCUUCAAUCCAUCUUCAUAGCUAACGAAUACCAUUGGCGUGGAUCGGUCGGACAACUUGUUGAUGCUGGGGCCCAAGUUUUUCACAUGGACGACACAACCAAAGGUCCUAAAGUAGGACACAUUCGGUCGCCGCCCAUGCCAAGCUUCAUAUGGCGUCCUUCCCUUCAGGCUUCAAGUCGACAAUUGGUUCAAAAUGUGAACAGUUGUCUUCACUAGUUCUACACAGAACAUGGUCAGAACACACAUGGUCUUCAGUAGGCUGCACGCCAUCUCGACCAAGGUCUGAUUCCUUCGCUUGAUGACACCAUUAUGUUGCGGCGAGUAGGGUGCGGUGGUGUAACUCCUGAUCCCUUGCUCAUCACGCCACGCCUUGAACUCGAGCGAGUUAAAUUCACUGCCACGGCCGGUCCUGAACGCACUCAGCUUGAUAUUUCACUCACUCUCGGCGAGUUCUUUGACCUUACGAAAGAGCUUGAAUGCCUCAUCCUUGGUGCGUAGCAUCUCCACCCACAUGAACCUACUGAAGUCAUCAACAAUCAGCAGAAAAUACCUGUUGCCACUCGGGGUCACUGUCGUAGUAGGGCUGUAGAGAUCUCUAUGUGCAAGAUCUAGUGCGCGCUCAGCCUGGUAUGGCGAUGCUUGUGGGAAGGGCGAUCGGUGCUGCUUAGCCAGUGCGCACCCGUCGCAAAACUACUCCACACGAUCAAUGUGGGGAAGGCCAUCUGCCAUCUUCUUAGCGGCAAGGUCGUGUAGAGCUCUGAAGUGAAGGUGCCUAAAACGGGCAUGCCAGCACCACACCGUGUCAUCCGCCUUAGCGAGGAGGCACACUGGCUCAGUAAUGUUGAGCUUGAGUGUGUAUGUCCGAUUAGUCGCACGCUUCACUCGCGCCAAGAGAAGACGAGCCGUGUCAAAGAUGGUGAGGAUGCCACUCUCAAUCUCCACCUUGCAGCCGUUCUCGUCCAGCUGCCCUAGGCUGACGAUGUUGCUGCGCAAAUGAGGAAUGUAAUAUACCUCCGUGAGCACACGUUGUGACUUGUUCUUGCACUCAAACAUUGCAAUCUUCGAGUACUUCUCCAGGAUGGCCUAUAGGAACUUGCUCACCACCAUGUCGUCGCCGUGCGGGUCACCAAGGAGGGUGAGUUUGGCUGGCAAGCCUGGUGAUGCAAAUCAUGAACUCGUCCACCGUCUCGCCGUCGUGAAACUCGAGCGAGUCAAACUCGCGCCGUAGAUUCUUGGCCUUGGCCUUCCAUACACGAUCAACGCCGACGUGAAUCGUGCAGAUCGAGUCCCAAGUAGCUUUGGCGGUGGGAUUAGUGGCGACGGAGCCCAACAUCUCUGACGGCACCGCCUUGCAUAUUGCCCCCAACGCUACGCGAUCAACCUGGAAAUCUACUCGGCCGGUGGUCACAGCUACCCAGAGGCAUCUGGCCUUAAUCAUUACCUUCAUAAGUGCAGCCCAGUCACCGUAGUUGGAGCGCGUCAAGAUCGGCCAGUUCGCCGAUCCGCUGCUCUCGUAAAUGAUCGUCGUCUCGUCGCCACAUGUCUGCUGGCGUCAUGGUGGUGGUGACAUAGAGCGCCGGCGUCCGCUCACCGGGGCCGACAUGAGUGACGAGGAUCUGCCCGCCUAGCUCUGAUGCCAAAUAUCGUUGCCAACUCUAACUAAGGGAUACACGCGAUCGCCUGGAUGCAGAAAUGGCAGAUCGAACACAACAGAACGUGAGAGAGGUUUUUGCCACUCGUCACCGUAGCAUUUUCUCAUGCAUGUAUUUAUACUCGAAGCAAACAUGCAGAUACAAGGGCUGUUGCCCGGUUCCUACGUCACGAAGCGAUCGACUCGCGCCAUCCAACAUUCAUGCAUGGUGGCGAGCUAAUUCUAGCCUCGUUGUGGACUCAGCAUGGCUCAGGCCAUAUGCAAAAGAAGUAGCUAGAAGAAAAAACAAGUUAACUACCUAAGUGACAUGAUUAUUUUCCAACACAGCUCACCUUCCUUUUCCCUGCGACGGCACCUACAUAUUCGUUGAGGUUAGAGUUUUCUUUUCUUCUGUGAUGUGUGUGGGAGGAAGCGGCAGCAGUGGUAGGAUGACCUGGGUUUAACGAAGAAGGUGGUACGAACACAGAUCUGGUAGCUCCCCGCCCGGAGUUGGGGUUGAGGCACCGGACGGCUGGGGAAGUGGUUGCUAAUCGUUCUUGCUGGUGCCUGGGGUGACGCUAACGAAGGAAGAAAAGAGACAUGAAGUAUAAUUUCACAUCCACUUGCAUAUAUAUGUCUAAUUUUGUUUGUCUAUUUCUCCUACAUGAUAUUCAUUUAUCUGUUGAUUUCUUUCCAUAUCUCAUAAUAUUUUACAUACCUUUACAGUAUGAAUCUCAACACAGAUGAGCGAUUAUAAUAAGUCGCAUAUUAACAUGUGAAAUUUUCCCUCCGAGAUAAGGCAUAUUGGAUGAGUGGAUCACAAGCAUGUUGCAGGUGGAUCACGAACAUGUUCCGAGAGAGCAUCUACAAGAAAAUUCUUAACUUCCCACAAAGAGGUCGCAUGUAGAUGAUCCAGCAUAAAUAGCCAACAUCAUGCAAGGGUCAUCACCUCAUCGUCACCAUGGUUGUUGAGAACACGUUCAAAUAAAAAGCUGAACCGUCUACAAUGUAGCCCAGAGCAUUGUACUAAUGGUCCAAGCGAGUGAAGGCGACGCCAAUCUACCGGAGUUCUGUGAGUGUUGCGCUGGCAAUAUCAGGCAACCAUUAAAGCAGCAAGGCAAGAAUGUUUUACCCAUGAGGAGGAGCUCAUGUUUGCCUACUUCAUGUCUGCUGAUGUAGAUGGCGGGUAUGAGUAGUGUAAACUACUCGUGUGGCGUGGUUUUAGGUGGAGCCUAAGGGUAUAUGGCAUCAUCUAUCUUUUGGUGUUGAUAGGUGGUAAUGUGUUAUGUACCAUCCUAGCUCCGUUGAGAUGUAAAUUGUUAUAAAUGGUUAAAGACUUAAGAAAUUGUAACAUAAUUUA